This is a long non-coding RNA of Oryza brachyantha (malo sina), 1062 nucleotides long. RefSeq lists it as uncharacterized. The record is from RefSeq and is a predicted model, not a curated record. The transcript is spliced from 3 exons. NCBI's taxonomy places the organism in Eukaryota, Viridiplantae, Streptophyta, Magnoliopsida, Poales, Poaceae.
CACACAGGUGGAUCGAUCAACAGUAACACCGCUCGAGCUCGGCCCCGCGACGUCGCAACCAACCCCGCAGGCUGCCCGCGCUUCCCGGUCAUCUCAUCACCCGCGCGCUCUGGCUGGUCGUCGAUCGAUCGAGUGGACGCUGGCUGUUCGAUCGGCGCUCCCCCCGCGCGCGCUGUCGUGCGUACGUGCAGCCGGCGCCCGCGAUGCCCGUUCCUCCCUGCGUGCGUACGGCGCGUGCGCCGCUGUGGCGACUGGGAUUGGGCUGGCCCCAGGCCGCUUUCAUUCGGUUUCCCCAGGUUGCAGGCAAGGGGAACGGAUUAACAACGGCUCCUCGUCUCUUCUUCUCGGAGGGAAAACGACGUCAUCCUCGUCUGCGCAAAAACCGAGAAAGCGAUCGACCGCUUCUGCUGUGGGCUCCUUUCUGGGUUCCAUGACCUAUUCUAUUAUUCGCUAUUAAUCCUACCCAACACAAACACGCCAUGUCACCGAAGGUCGUCGUAGCCAUUUGCCUCGUAGCACUUCUCCUUCCCAUCCGCACAAGCCAUGCUGGUAGAGUUGGGCCAGUUGAGCCCAUCAAAGCUACCACUAAGGUUGUGGAGGGGAGGAACCGUGUUCAGGAGGAGGAUUGCUCGGUGAGGCGUGUGCUCGCGGCUCACCUGGACUACAUCUACACGCAGGGCACGCACAACUGAGGAGGAGAUGUCUGCGGUAAAGACAGUCCUUGUAAAACUACGUACAUGUCGGAGAAUAAACUGCCAUGCAAGCUCAACGUCUCGAUGACAAUGCGUGCAUGGAGAAAGGACCGAGAGUCCUUCGCGUCUUGCCGGGUAGUAGCAUACCACCACAGGUUGAUGGGCUAGCUGACCUAGGUUUGAGACUCGCCCUCUACUUAAUGUCUUUGGUGUGAAAGUUUAACCAUUUUAUAUCCAACGAUAAUACAUGUACGGGCUAUAUGUUGUGUUUGUAAGCAUACGAGCGUGUAUGUGUGGAGCUUUUGGCAAAGUUUGUAGUAAUGAUGAUCAGGUAAACUUGUUAUUUUGUUCGAAAUUACGUAUUCUCUCU